ACGGGAGGCAGCAGUAAGGAAUUUUCGGCAAUGGGGGAAACCCUGACCGAGCAACGCCGCGUGAGUGAUGAAGGUCUUCGGAUCGUAAAGCUCUGUUGUAAAGGAAGAACGUUAUAAAUAGGAAAUGAUUUAUAAGUGACGGUACUUUACUAGAAAGUCACGGCUUACUACGUGCCAGCAGCCGCGGUAAUACGUAGGUGGCAAGCGUUAUCCGGAUUUAUUGGGCGUAAAGGGUGCGCAGGCGGUUUGUUAAGUUUGAGGUGAAAGCGUUGGGCUCAACCCAAUAUAGCCUCGAAUACUGGCAAACUAGAGUGCAGAAGAGGGUAAUGGAACUCCAUGUGUAGCGGUAAAAUGCGUAGAUAUAUGGAAGAACACCAGCGGCGAAGGCGGUUACCUGGUCUGCUACUGACGCUCAGGCACGAAAGCGUGGGGAGCAAAUAGGAUUAGAUACCCUGGUA
RNAcentral lists this ribosomal RNA (458 nucleotides) under uncultured Anaerorhabdus sp. RNAcentral describes it as "partial 16S ribosomal RNA". It matches the Rfam family "Bacterial small subunit ribosomal RNA", at positions 341 to 792 of the family's 1533-position model. Lineage: Bacteria; Bacillati; Bacillota; Erysipelotrichia; Erysipelotrichales; Erysipelotrichaceae. The record is from RNAcentral.